CUUGUAAUGCAUCAGAUAACAUUGUGUUAUUCUAACAAUAUAAGAGUUACCUACAUUAUACUGGUUCCCUGCAUACUAAUGCAUUGCAUGCAUUUUUUUUAUCUUGUUGUAAUUGUGUUUUGUAACCCCAUGCAUGCACUUAAAAAUAAUAAUUUUCAUCAUUUCAUAUGUAGAACAACAACCAGUGACCGGAAAACUGAGAUAGACAGGAGGAAGAAGAAAGCUGGACAUGAAGUUCUGACCCCGUGGCGCACAGGAGAACAUGGUCCCUCAUCACUUGCUGAGCCACCAGGCAAUGAAUUUCAAGAGCAAGACGACCAAAUCUCCAUCUUGACAGAUCCAACCUCGACCAAGAGUUCCAUUGAGCAGGAGGUGACAUUGCCCACCACACCAAGGGUGAUCAUGCUAGGAAGAAGUUUGAUGUCUUCCACCCAUUGGAUGGUCAGCAUUGAGGGGAAGAUCCUCUUUGAAGUUAACCAACUUAAUGACUUUGCCAGUGCUUUU
Sander lucioperca (pikeperch) is the source of this 504-nucleotide long non-coding RNA. RefSeq lists it as uncharacterized. The transcript is spliced from 3 exons. NCBI's taxonomy places the organism in Eukaryota, Metazoa, Chordata, Actinopteri, Perciformes, Percidae. The record is from RefSeq and is a predicted model, not a curated record.